CCUACGGGAGGCUGCAGUAGGGAAUAUUGGACAAUGGGUGCGAGCCUGAUCCAGCCAUGCCGCGUGCAGGAAGAAGGCGUUAUGCGUUGUAAACUGCUUUUGCCAGGGGAUAAAAUAACUGUGCGCAGUUGAUUGAAGGUACCUGGUGAAUAAGCCACGGCUAACUACGUGCCAGCAGCCGCGGUAAUACGUAGGUGGCAAGCGUUGUCCGGAUUUAUUGGGUUUAAAGGGUGCGCUGGCGGUCAUGUGAGAAAUAUGUCAGCGUAACUGAGAGGCUGCCAUUGAUACUGCUGGGCUUGAGUACAGAUGAGGUAGGCGGAAUUGACGGUGUAGCGGUGAAAUGCAUAGAUAUCGUCAAGAACACCGAUAGCGAAGGCAGCUUACCAAGCUGUAACUGACGCUGAGGCACGAAAGUGUGGGGAUCAAACAGGAUUAGAUACCCUUGUAGUC
This 450-nucleotide ribosomal RNA is filed under the name uncultured bacterium. RNAcentral describes it as "partial 16S ribosomal RNA". It matches the Rfam family "Bacterial small subunit ribosomal RNA", at positions 338 to 795 of the family's 1533-position model. The record is from RNAcentral.